RNAcentral lists this long non-coding RNA (1551 nucleotides) under Homo sapiens (human). RNAcentral's name for it is "HSALNT0084922". Lineage: Eukaryota; Metazoa; Chordata; Mammalia; Primates; Hominidae. The record is from RNAcentral.
UGUGCUUCUGCUUCCUGGUCUUGUAGAUGGAAAAUCUGAAAGAUCUCUAGAGAAAACUUCCUCACUGGGUCGGUCAAGAUCUGUGAAAUGGAUAACAGAAGUUCAGACUGAAGCACCAUAACAAAUUUCAAAUAAAAGUGCUGUCUAAAGAUAUCUGACUUUAAUCUGAACCCUCUGGCAACCUUGGCAUUCAUCUAGCCUCCUGGGUCAACUUGAAUCAAUUUAACCACAUACUGAACUCCUCCUAAUCCUGCAACACUCUUUCUCCACAGGGACACAAAUACUACACAUCCCUCUCCAUAUUUAGCUUUCCUCUUAAGCACAAAACAGUGUAUUUACUGACUUAACAUUCACCUUUGUCUGAUAUUAGCUUGAGGUUUUGACUAAAGUUUAAGCAUUUACUAUAAAAAUUCCCCAUCCUGCGCCUAGGGUGGGAAUUAUCUUAAGCCAAUGAGUACACAUGUACAUGAAAUUUAAAAUACUAUAAUAAGUUUCCUUGGGUUUUGGUUAAUAUUAUCCAGCCUCAGCAUUUUCAUACAUAGAGAUCUAUUUCAGUGCCUGUAAUCUGUGUUUGUUUUAAGCAAUGAAAGGAAGAUACUGCUCCUUCUAUUCCAUAUAACCCAAGAGUUUAUGGAAACAUUUGGCUCUCUAUAACUAUAGCUGAAACUGACCAUACCAAGAUUUAGGACAUUUGAAAGCAAUGUCACAUUAGAAGGCUAAUAGAUUUUAUUGUUUUUACCUUUCAUAUAAAAUCUUUUAAUAUAACAGUUAACUCCCUGCAACAGUGAUUUGAAAUCUUCAAUUAAUGAAAAGCCUUGUAUGUGGCUUGGAUUAUUAUUGUCUCUUUUGUUGAAUCUGAGAUGGGAUGCUUAAGAACAAGGUACUUGUUAUUCUUGUUCUUUAAAAUAUGACCUCAAAUUGUAGGUACUGAAAGCUUGUAGAGCUUGAAUGACCUUCAGCAAUGCUCCUGUUCUAAUUUAAAGGUGAGGAAAUUGAGAUCCACAAAAAUUAUGUCACCCGUUCAAGGUCAUAAAGUUAGGUAGUGACAAAGGCAAGACUCCACUUGGGUCUUCCACCUUCCAAACCCAUCUUCUUUCAAACACUGCACAGCCUCCCUCCCUCCUUCCUUUAAAAACAGAAAAUGUCCUUUUGGAACAUAAGUGUAAAAUAGUUCAUUCACCCUCCUCCUUUAUAAUCUGCUCAUAUGUUCAGUAUAUGGCCAAAACAAGGUAAUCCAGUGAGACUAACAAAAGUUAAGUUACUGUACAAGCAUUGACUCUCAAUUUAAGUUUUGGACAUAAUUUGCAUUAUAAAGAAUACUGUGCUUUCCUGUUUUUAAUUGUACUUAUUAUAAACAAAGAAUAUACUGGAUAAAGAAAAUGUGGUACACAUACACCAUGGAAUACUAUGCAGCCAUAAAAAGGAACGAGAUCAUGUCCUUUGCAAGGACAUGGAUGGAGCUGGAAGCCAUUAUCCUCGGCAAACUAACACAGGAACAGAAAACCAAACACACUGCCUGUUCUCACCUGUAAGUGGAAGCUGAAUAAUGAG